GUCUACGGCCAUACCACGUUGAAAACACCGGUUCUCGUCUGAUCACCGAAGUUAAACAACGUCGGGCCCGGUUAGUACUUGGAUGGGUGACCGCCUGGGAAUACCGGGUGCUGUAGACU
This 119-nucleotide ribosomal RNA is filed under the name Capitella teleta. Lineage: Eukaryota; Metazoa; Annelida; Polychaeta; Capitellidae. The record is from RNAcentral.